Molecule: ribosomal RNA, 624 nt
Filed under: uncultured bacterium
Lineage: Bacteria
Description: bacterial SSU rRNA
Rfam family: Bacterial small subunit ribosomal RNA
Source: RNAcentral
AAAAACUCCGGUGGUAUGAGAUGGGCCCGCGUCUGAUUAGCUGGUUGGUGAGGUAACGGCUCACCAAGGCAACGAUCAGUAGCCGACCUGAGAGGGUGACCGGCCACAUUGGGACUGAGACACGGCCCAAACUCCUACGGGAGGCAGCAGUGGGGAAUAUUGCACAAUGGGGGAAACCCUGAUGCAGCGACGCCGCGUGAGCGAUGAAGUAUUUCGGUAUGUAAAGCUCUAUCAGCAGGGAAGAAAAUGACGGUACCUGACUAAGAAGCCCCGGCUAACUACGUGCCAGCAGCCGCGGUAAUACGUAGGGGGCAAGCGUUAUCCGGAUUUACUGGGUGUAAAGGGAGCGUAGACGGCGAUGCAAGCCAGAUGUGAAAGCCCGGGGCUCAACCCCGGGACUGCAUUUGGAACUGUAUAGCUAGAGUGUCGGAGAGGCAGGCGGAAUUCCUAGUGUAGCGGUGAAAUGCGUAGAUAUUAGGAGGAACACCAGUGGCGAAGGCGGCCUGCUGGACGAUGACUGACGUUGAGGCUCGAAAGCGUGGGGAGCAAACAGGAUUAGAUACCCUGGUAGUCCACGCCGUAAACGAUGACUACUAGGUGUCGGGCAGCAAAGCUGUUCGGUGC